RNAcentral lists this ribosomal RNA (411 nucleotides) under uncultured bacterium. RNAcentral describes it as "bacterial SSU rRNA". It matches the Rfam family "Bacterial small subunit ribosomal RNA", at positions 355 to 787 of the family's 1533-position model. The record is from RNAcentral.
UGGGGAAUAUUGCACAAUGGGGAAACCCUGAUGCAGCGACGCCGCGUGAAGGAUGAAGUAUUUCGGUAUGUAAACUUCUAUCAGCAGGGAAGAAAUGACGGUACCUGACUAAGAAGCCCCGGCUAACUACGUGCCAGCAGCCGCGGUAAUACGUAGGGGGCAAGCGUUAUCCGGAUUUACUGGGUGUAAAGGGAGCGUAGACGGCAUGGCAAGUCUGAAGUGAAACGCCGGGCUCAAGCCCGGACUGCUUUGGAAACUGUCAGGCUAGAGUGCUGGAGAGGUAAGUGGAAUUCCUAGUGUAGCGGUGAAAUGCGUAGAUAUUAGGAGGAACACCAGUGGCGAAGGCGGCUUACUGGACAGUGACUGACGUUGAGGCUCGAAAGCGUGGGGAGCAAACAGGAUUAGAUACCC